UGCAGCUGCCGUUGAAAUUCGCUGUGGCCGCUGCCUCUUCCCGCUAUAACCCCAGACCUCCAGUCAUUGGGCAGCUCCUCGGAGGCAAGAAGUCAACACCAUGGCAACCCGACAAGCCUAUCAAAUCGCCGGCUGGCGUGACAGCAGCAACGCUGCAGGCAGGAGUGGGCUGGGCAGACGAGCAGAGUGGCCACUAUGCUCAGAGCUCAAGUUUAUUGAAGUUGUAUAAGGCAGAAAAAGAAAUUCACUAAAUAAUGAAGUCAAUUUAUCAUGUUGAGGAAAUCUUGUAUGAAUCCUAAAAUCUACCCUUAAGUCCACUCCACAUAAACACAAUUCACUAAAUAAACAGUUUUAUAUCGAUCUCAUAAUUUUUAUGAAGAGGCUCUUAAAGUUGUUUCCAGCUCUUGUAAGGAAGAUUCCUCCUUUUUUAGCUAAUGAGUAGGACAUUGAAAUUGAACAUACUUAAAAGCAACAUUCAAAACAAUAAUGCAACAAUGCCUGGCUCAUUUUCAUCAUAGUGGAUUCUAUCUCCAGUAGAGUUUCUUCCUGACCUUACCUGAUGAAAAAUGAUACCACCAGAGUCAUAUGCAAAAUGGAACUCAUCUUUUUGGCCUACUGAUGGGAAAUAAAAUAAUACAUUUCAUUUUUAACUUCAGCAAAAUAAAAAGCUGUGAUUUCAAGAACAGAUAGAUUG
Long non-coding RNA from Sorex fumeus (smoky shrew), 694 nucleotides. RefSeq lists it as uncharacterized. The transcript has 4 exons. Lineage: Eukaryota; Metazoa; Chordata; Mammalia; Eulipotyphla; Soricidae. The record is from RefSeq and is a predicted model, not a curated record.